AGAGUUUGAUCCUGGCUCAGGAUAAACGCUGGCGGCGUGCAUAAAACAUGCAAGUCGAACGGACAGUUUUCGGACUGUCAGUGGCGAACGGCUGAGUAACACGUAAGUGACCUACCCUUGAGUGGGGAAUAACUGCUCGAAAGAGUGGCUAAUACCGCAUACGCUCCCGUCUUCGUUGAUGGGAGUAAAGCCGAAAGGCGCUUGAGGAUGGGCUUGCGGCCGAUUAGCUAGUUGGUGGGGUAAAGGCCUACCAAGGCGAUGAUCGGUAGCUGGUCUGAGAGGAUGAUCAGCCAGACUGGGACUGCGACACGGCCCAGACUCCUACGGGAGACAGCAGUUAGGAAUUUUGCGCAAUGGACGAAAGUCUGACGCAGCAACGCCGCGUGGGGGAUGAAGGUCUUCGGAUCGUAAACCUCUUUUCUGAGGGAAGAUAGUGACGGUACCUCAGGAAUAAGCCCCGGCUAACUACGUGCCAGCAGCCGCGGUAAUACGUAGGGGGCGAGCGUUGUCCGGAUUUAUUGGGCGUAAAGAGCGCGUAGGCGGCUGUCCAAGUCGUGCGUGAAAUACUCCGGCUCAACUGGAGUAGGUCGUGCGAUACUGGGUGGCUUGAGGUCGGUAGGGGGAAGUGGAGUUCCCGGUGUAGUGGUGGAAUGCGUAGAUAUCGGGAGGAACACCAGUGGCGAAGGCGGCUUCCUGGACCGAUCCUGACGCUGAGGCGCGAAAGCGUGGGGAGCGAACUGAAUUAGAUACUCAGGUAGUCCACGCUGUAAACUAUGGGUGCUAGGUGUCGGGGGUAUCGACCCCUCCGGUGCCGGAGCUAACGCAUUAAGCACCCCGCCUGGGGAGUACGGCCGCAAGGCUAAAACUCAAAGGAAUUGACGG
This 882-nucleotide ribosomal RNA is filed under the name uncultured Chloroflexota bacterium. Its description in RNAcentral is "bacterial SSU rRNA". It matches the Rfam family "Bacterial small subunit ribosomal RNA", at positions 8 to 916 of the family's 1533-position model. The record is from RNAcentral. Lineage: Bacteria; Bacillati; Chloroflexota.